UACGGAGGGUGCAAGCGUUGUCCGGAAUCAUUGGGUGUAAAGGGUGCGUAGGCGGGAGCCUAAGUCGGGGGUGAAAUCUUGCCGCUUAACGGUAAAAUUGCCUUCGAUACUGGGUUUCUUGAGUACAGAAGAGGUCGGUGGAAUUCGUAGUGUAGCGGUGAAAUGCAUAGAUAUUACGAAGAACAUCAGUGGCGAAGGCGGCCGGCUGGACUGUAACUGACGCUGAGGCACGAAAGCGUGGGGAGCGAACAGG
This 253-nucleotide ribosomal RNA is filed under the name uncultured Balneola sp. RNAcentral's name for it is "partial 16S ribosomal RNA". It matches the Rfam family "Bacterial small subunit ribosomal RNA", at positions 524 to 776 of the family's 1533-position model. The record is from RNAcentral. Lineage: Bacteria; Pseudomonadati; Balneolota; Balneolia; Balneolales; Balneolaceae.